GAUGAACGCUGGCGGCAUGCCUAACACAUGCAAGUCGAACGCACCGCAAGGUGAGUGGCGCACGGGUGAGUAACGCGUGGGAACCUGCCCUGGAGUGGGGGAUAACCGAGGGAAACCUCGGCUAAUACCGCAUACGUCCUUAGGGAGAAAGAUUUAUCGCUCUAGGAGGGGCCCGCGUCGGAUUAGCUAGUUGGUGAGGUAACGGCUCACCAAGGCAACGAUCCGUAGCUGGUCUGAGAGGAUGAUCAGCCACACUGGGACUGAGACACGGCCCAGACUCCUACGGGAGGCAGCAGUGGGGAAUAUUGGACAAUGGGGGAAACCCUGAUCCAG
This 333-nucleotide ribosomal RNA is filed under the name uncultured Alphaproteobacteria bacterium. RNAcentral describes it as "bacterial SSU rRNA". It matches the Rfam family "Bacterial small subunit ribosomal RNA", at positions 28 to 391 of the family's 1533-position model. Lineage: Bacteria; Pseudomonadati; Pseudomonadota; Alphaproteobacteria. The record is from RNAcentral.